GUUGGCUAGUUUUUCUUUGUCUAAAUUGUCCCAUUUGGCUGGGCCCCUUGGCUUUCAUCUAUUAGAAUGGGGAUAUAGAAAACGCUUCCUCUUGGUUUAUGAGAUUAAACCAGGAUGGAGGUUGACAUAAACAUUUCUGGGCCAUCAGAGCUCUGUGAAGAGCACUUCUGUGUUCCAGAUGCGGGGCGUGCCUGUGCAGAGCCCACCCGGAGAUCACAGUUUGCUGACUUGUCGAUGGCCGCCUAGAGGAAGGCAGGGAUUCUGAAUAAUGACUCUGCAAACUGGAGACAAGAGACCCAGAAGCCACCAUUCUUCCGGCAGUGUUUACAAUGUAGGCGAGAGGCCACAGACAUAUUUUUGAGUGCUGAAAUGAAUCUGAUUGUGGGGGAAGAGAGAAGCAUUUUGUAAUUAAAAAGUGGAAGCCGAAGCCCUGGCUGCUCAUCUCACAGGGUGAUUCUGAGGAUCUGCUUGGAGAGAAUGAGUCUUCAGUUAGACCUGAGGCUGGGAGCGGACAAGAUUCUGUAAAGACACUGUGAUAAGUUACUGGUGGCUUCUAGGGACCGCUCCUUGCAGCCCCUGCUACUGAGAAUUAACCACUCAAACUUCCCACUCAGCCAGGGCACUGAAAUCAGUGAUGUGCUUAGGAGGGCCAGCUCAUGGGAGGAAAGGAAUGGCAUCCCCAGAAGACAGAGCAGCAUGCGCAGAGGUGCCGAGGUGGGUAACGGCCUGGCCCAUUCUAAGAUGCAGGGGACAGACCUGAGAUAAAGCUGGAGGACAGGUUGGACACACAGAUUCCUAGAGGACAAUGAUGAGUUGGCCACACUGAGUGAGUGGCAGUGGGGUUGUGCUUGGACUUGACAGCCGUCAGCUCGGUGGCAACGCAGACAGAAAGCAAAGGAUGUCACCGUCAGAGGCGUCAGGACACAGGGAGGGUGGGACCUGGACGGUGGGCGUGGCGCAGGGUGAGAGGAUGGAGUUGAGGCUGUCGGGGAGGCAGGGUGGACGGCUGCAGGAGAGGCUCAGCAGGAGUGAAGGAGGACGCUGGAGUUAGGACAGAUAGGGAUUCAGGAAGCAGAAGGGGUCUGGGCUGAGGGCCCAGAAGAACCCCGCGGGGCCCCUGGAGCCAAACGCCUCAAAAUCUACUUUCUUCAGGACAGAACUCAGCCCCCCCCCCCGGGACCCCGCAUUUUCUGUCCUUUGGGAGCCCACCGACCUGCCCUCCUGGCCUCCGCCUCCGCCUCCUCCUCCACACCCCGGCUGGUCCCCUGCCCCCUCACUUCCCUCAUCUCGGCCCAUUUCAGGUCCAUCCCACUGCACUCCCGUGCACCCCGCUUCACUGAAUGCCCGAGCACGGUGUGGCUUGCCUGUCUGCUUCCCUCACUGACCCAUGGGGUGGACGUGAACGUGCCUGGCGGAUGGAGAAGUGGACCUGCAGGAGGGCCCUGGAGGACGUGCUCACAGAAAAAGAGCACAGUCAGGUGCGUGGGCGCGGUGGGAGGCCCCUCUGUUCACACACGGCUCCCUCAAGGCUCUGGCCCUUUGCUCCGGCCAGGAAUCCUGCAGGUCUGGGUAGGCCUGCUGCCAGGGUGCACCUAGCAGAUGUCCUUCCUGGGGGUCAGUGGGCUGCCCCGACCUCAUCUGACGACACCUUCCCACAUGGCUCUUCUUCUUUUCCACCUCUGAGGCACCUGCACUGUGCCGUCUCAGGAAGAGGAACCUCUGGCUCUUGGUCUUCAAGUCCUCCGCCCAGGAGGGGCCAGUGCUGCACUUCCAGGGGUGACUGGCACCUUGGCCUGGACUGUGGCCAGGGGGCUCGCCGCCUCCAUCACCUGAGGUUUUCACUCAUGCACUUGACCUUGGUAUCCACAUAGGAGGCUCUGGGAAGUUCAUAACACGGUCAAGAAGUUCUAAGCUUGACAGAGGCUUCUCUUUAUUCUUUCAGUCCUAAUACCCAGCUUAUAAUAGAUGCUCAGUGAACAUGUUAUUUUAUAGGUGUGUGAAUAGAGACCUUUCCUUGAAAUCGUA
Non-coding RNA from Ictidomys tridecemlineatus (thirteen-lined ground squirrel), 2025 nucleotides. NCBI's taxonomy places the organism in Eukaryota, Metazoa, Chordata, Mammalia, Rodentia, Sciuridae. The record is from RefSeq and is a predicted model, not a curated record.